Molecule: ribosomal RNA, 450 nt
Filed under: uncultured bacterium
Lineage: Bacteria
Description: bacterial SSU rRNA
Rfam family: Bacterial small subunit ribosomal RNA
Source: RNAcentral
GCAUACGUCUACSGGAGAAGCAGGGGACUUCGGGCCUGCGCUAUCGAUGAGCCUGGUCGGAUUGCUAGUUGGGGGGUAAUGCUCACCAAGCGACGAUCCYAACUGGUCGAGAGGAUGUCAGUCACAUGGAACUGAACACGGUCCGACUCCUACGGAGGCAGCGUGGGGAAUUUGGACAAUGGCGAAAGCUGAUCCAGCAUGCCGCGUUGUGAAGAAGUCUUCGGAUGUAAAGCAUUUAAGUUGGAGGAAGGGAGUAAAUUAUACUUUGCUUUUUGACGUACCCGACAGAUAAGCACCGCUAACUCUUGCCAGCAGCCGCGGUAAACAGAGGGUCAAGCGUUAUCGGAAUUAUGGGCGUAAGCGCGCGUAGUGGUUCGUAAGUUGGAUUGAAAUCCCCGGGCCUCACCUGGGAACUGCAUUCAAACUGACGAGUAGAGUAUUGUAGARGGU